RNAcentral lists this long non-coding RNA (735 nucleotides) under Corvus moneduloides (New Caledonian crow). RNAcentral describes it as "lncRNA (ENSCMUG00000019710.1)". Lineage: Eukaryota; Metazoa; Chordata; Aves; Passeriformes; Corvidae. The record is from RNAcentral.
UCCUGGUCCUGGCCCCGGCGGCCGGCCGAGCAUCCUCCGGCGGGGGCCCUGCCUGGCGCCGCGGCGAGCCGGGGCUGCCGCGAGGCGGGCGGGGGAGCGGGCGAGCGGCACUUCCAGCGCUCUGGGGCUGCGCAUCGUCCCGGCUUGUAUUUAAGGCGGCGGAGCUCAGCUCGGCUCCUCCCCCGCAUUCUCGGAAAACACGCGGCCUCUGUUCACUUUCGCUUUCCCAAAGAGUUUGGUGGCACUGAGCCAGCGGUACCACCGGCCCCGGAGAACGCCCCGCGGGCUCCCCGCCCCGCCGCUGGGGAUGCUCUUCGACCUCUCUUCUCAUGUCCGACUACGUCUGGGUUUGCUCUUUUCUUGCUUUAUUUUUUCGGACAGCCCCGGCGGAGCAGGCGGUGGCCGCGGGCACGGCCGAGAGGUGCUGCGGGGGAAAUGCGAGCACGGAGCGCUCUGAGGCCCCAGGGAGGCAAGGGGACACUAGAGGAGUUUGAAUAAGCCCACCGGGAAGCCAGCUCUGCAGACUGUUUCCAGAGCAGCAAGCAGUACUGUGCAUUAAUCUCCGGAUUUCCCCGUAAGAGCAUCCCUGGGAAAAUCAUCAUGUGCAUUUCCCUGUUUUGUCACGAAACCGGAGGAGCUUCACCAACUCCAAGUAAACACCAAGCACCCUUUCUCGCUGAGCAGGGUGGGAGCCCAGGGUGGUUCCAGCAGCGGGGGCGCGGGGCAGGGGCAGAG